GGGGGUGUAAAGGUUUCGACAGGUGUGUGGAACAAGGAUAAGCGAGCCGUGGCGGUGAUCCACGUAAAAAGUACCCGUUCAAAAGAAACGCUAAAACUAACAACAAUUUCGCACUGGCUGCAUAGUUCAGCCCCGCGCGUCGGCCCCGUGUCACCUGCAGCAUGGGAAUCCGGCGUCAUGCAUGCAGGGACCUCUUGCGUGAUCUCCCGGUAGCGUAAGAGUAUUCACGGGAUAGCGAAACCCCGAGUUUGCCGCGUUGGCGAAGGGUGAGCGAACCAAAAGCAAUCGGCUGCGCUCGGAGAAAGUCUUUCGGAAAUGCUCUUGGACGUGGGUUCGACUCCCACCAUCUCCACC
RNAcentral lists this transfer-messenger RNA (354 nucleotides) under bovine gut metagenome. It matches the Rfam family "transfer-messenger RNA". From Rfam's summary of the family: Bacterial tmRNA, also known as 10Sa RNA or SsrA, is named for its dual tRNA and mRNA-like properties. The record is from RNAcentral.